This 75-nucleotide transfer RNA is filed under the name Candidatus Melainabacteria bacterium LEY3_CP_29_8. RNAcentral describes it as "tRNA-Gly". It matches the Rfam family "tRNA". Rfam says of the family: Transfer RNA (tRNA) molecules are approximately 80 nucleotides in length. Their secondary structure includes four short double-helical elements and three loops (D, anti-codon, and T loops). Lineage: Bacteria; Bacillati; Candidatus Melainabacteria. The record is from RNAcentral.
GCGGAAGUAGUUCAGUGGUAGAAUAUCUCCUUGCCAAGGAGGGGGUCGCGAGUUCGAACCUCGUCUUCCGCUCCA